AUUGAACGCUGGCGGCAUGCCUUACACAUGCAAGUCGAACGGCAGCGGGCCUUCGGGUGCCGGCGAGUGGCGAACGGGUGAGUAAUGUAUCGGAACGUGCCAUUGAUGGGGGAUAACGUAGCGAAAGUUGCGCUAAUACCGCAUAUUCUGUGAGCAGGAAAGCAGGGGACCGCAAGGCCUUGCGCUCUUUGAGCGGCCGAUGUCAGAUUAGCUAGUUGGUGAGGUAAAGGCUUACCAAGGCGACGAUCUGUAGCGGGUCUGAGAGGAUGAUCCGCCACACUGGAACUGAGACACGGUCCAGACUCCUACGGGAGGCAGCAGUGGGGAAUUUGGACAAUGGGGGCAACCCUGAUCCAGCCAUGCCGCGUGAGUGAAGAAGGCC
This 382-nucleotide ribosomal RNA is filed under the name uncultured bacterium. RNAcentral describes it as "bacterial SSU rRNA". It matches the Rfam family "Bacterial small subunit ribosomal RNA", at positions 30 to 416 of the family's 1533-position model. The record is from RNAcentral.